This 305-nucleotide ribosomal RNA is filed under the name uncultured bacterium. Its description in RNAcentral is "bacterial SSU rRNA". It matches the Rfam family "Bacterial small subunit ribosomal RNA", at positions 334 to 653 of the family's 1533-position model. The record is from RNAcentral.
UCUUCCUACGGGGGGCAGCAGUGGGGAAUAUUGCGCAAUGGGGGGAACCCUGACGCAGCAACGCCGCGUGCAGGAAGAAGGUCUUCGGAUUGUAAACUGUUGUCGCAGGGGAAGAAGACAGUGACGGUACCCUGUGAGAAAGUCACGGCUAACUACGUGCCAGCAGCCGCGGUAAUACGUAGGUGACAAGCGUUAUCCGGAUUUACUGGGUGCAAAGGGAGCGUAGACGGCAGGGCAAGUCUGGAGUGAAAGGCAGGGGCCCAACCCCUGGACUGCUCUGGAAACUGUCCGGCUGGAGUGCAGGG